AUACGGAGGAUGCAAGCGUUAUCCGGAUUUAUUGGGUUUAAAGGGAGCGCAGGCGGAGAUGCAAGCGUGACGUCAAAUUUCGGGGCUCAACCCCGUCUCGCGUCGCGAACUGCGUCCCUUGGUUGCGGGAAGGGGAGGCGGAACUCGUGGUGUAGCGGUGAAAUGCAUAGAUAUCACGAAGAACUCCGAUCGCGAAGGCAGCCUUCCGGCCCGUCAACGACGCUCAUGCUCGAAGGUGCGGGUAUCAAACAGGAUUAGAUACCCUGGUAGUCCGCACAGUAAACGAUGGACACCCGCGGUUUGGCCUGUAUGGCUGAGCCGCCAAGCGAAAGCGUUAAGUGUCCCACCUGGGGAGUACGCCGGCAACGGUGAAACUCAAAGGAAUUGACGGG
RNAcentral lists this ribosomal RNA (392 nucleotides) under uncultured bacterium. RNAcentral describes it as "partial 16S ribosomal RNA". It matches the Rfam family "Bacterial small subunit ribosomal RNA", at positions 523 to 917 of the family's 1533-position model. The record is from RNAcentral.